CUUUUUUCAGAUACGUAGUAAUUUACAGAUGGCUUGCUGUUAUCACUGCUUAGGAAAUUAUCCUGUAAGUAAUUUUUUAAAUAAAGAUUUGGACAAAAAAUUGUGUCAAAUUUAAGGUUAGAACAUGUAGUUUAAAAUGCCAGCUGACGACUACUUUUGACUUAAACCAGCAUUGUUCAGAAGUUUGAAAGCUGGAAUUGCAUCUAGAAGUGCCAUAUCAUGUUUCUUGCAUUUAUUGUAUCUCUGCUCAAACUCAAUCAUAUACUGUGGAUUCAUUCAUUAUUAUUUGUUGAAUACCAAUUUUUGUGGAUUUCGUGGGUACAUUUAAAACAAGAAUUCAAAUGUUUAACAAACCGAAAUUUUCUAAAGGUUUGUAUGCAGACUUUGGCAAAACCAUGAAAUCAAAUAUCCACGAAAAUGCAGAUGUUCAUCAAUCCAUGAGAAUUGGUACCACCUAUGAAAAUAAAUGAACCCACAGUAAUCAAAAAUGCUUUCAUCAUCUCCUCUGUGGAACUAAUCUAAUAUAGUAUAAGCACCAUAAGCCUGAUCUAUCUUACCUUCACAAAAAACUUGUCCAACUCAGUUAUCAGCUUAUCUACUCUUUCAUCAACAUUCAAAUCACUGAGAUCUACUUUUAGGGCUACUUACCUUGGUUUUCCUUGUAAUGACAAAGCUAAAGCCAAACCUCUCUUCUUCUUGCCAAGAUCAGUCAUGAGUUGCCACAUUUAUACGUCAACUUCCUGUUUACCGAACACUUGCAUAUUUUUACACUAUUAAUAUUAUCCACUUGUGGCGGGGGUAUCAUCAGUGAGCAGUAGCUCGUAGUUUCACUUGUUUUGUCUAUUAUAAUGUCUUUACUAAACUAUAUAUUAACUAAACCCAUAGUAACAUGUACCUGAAAACAAUAGAAAAAAAUAAUAGAAAACACAAUAGUUACCAAAGGCAACCCCACAAACAGCAAUCACUGAAUUUACAUGCUCCUUACUUGGGACAGGCACAUACAGAAUGUAGGAGGAUUAAACAUUUUUGCUAAUCCCCCCACCCUCCCCCUAACCAAGAACAGUGGUGUUACAGUACAAUAUAUGAACAAACUAUAAAAAUCAGUUGAAAAGGCUUUACAAAUCAGAUUGUAAUGUUAAAUUCUCUCUUAUUAUAAGUAAUAGGAUAACUAUAUUUGGUAUGUGCGUACCUUGCAAGGUCCUCAUGCCCGUCAGACAGUUUUCACUUGACCUCAACCUCAUUUCAUUGAUCAGUGAACAAGGUUAAGUUUUGGUGGUCAAGUCCAUAUGUCAGAUACUAUAAGCAAUAGGUAUAAUAUAUUCAGUGUACAAUUUGGAAAUUAGUAUGGCGUUCAUUAUCACUGAACUAGUAUAUAUUUGUUUAGGGGCCAGCUGAAGGACGCUUCCGGGUGCGGGAAUUUCUCGCUACAUUGAAGACCUGUUGGUGACCUUCUGCUGUUGUUUUUUCUGUGGUCGAGCUGUUGUCUCUUUGACACAUUCCCCAUUUCCAUUCUCAAUUUGAUUGAUACAAAGCAGAAAAACAACUAAAAAAAACACAGACUGGACGUGGCUGUACGUAUAGAUUAUAACAUGCCCUUUUCCAUAUUGGCCCUGGUAUCAACCUGAGACUCCCAUAUCGGCCUCGAGGCUUUAGCCGAGGGCCUAUAUGGGUCGAGGGAUGAUACCAGGGCCAAUAUGGAAAAGACAUGUUAUAAUCUUUUUAUCACAUAUUAAAUUUCUGCAGAAAAGAGAAAAAGGGUCAAUUAUAACAAUUUAAUGAAAGAUAAAAGGUAAAAUCUUAAACAUUUUAUCACAAACGUAUCGUUCAGGACGCAGUGACGUCACAUCAUUUAGAAUCAGGGCACAAUAUCAAUAUGCUCUUUUUUGCCCCGGGCAAUUUUGAGGUUAUUGCAUAUGCAAAACCAGACGUAUUCGUAACAAAUAUGUGAUAAAUUUAUAUAUUCCCACAACAAACAAAACAAUAAGUACAGAUCUUAGAGUACUUGCAGUUACUGACAGUUGCUUUGAACUAGCUAUCAGUAUCAUGAGUACUAUUAUAUGCUAAUUGAACUUUACAUUGAUCUGAUGAGUCAAGCUCCUAAAUUUCAACUGAAUUUUAUUUGAUUUAUUAAUUUCUCAUUGUUAUAUAUUUUUUCAUGUCAGGUCUUUUUUUUAGUUUGCUUUGAUUUACGGGUUUUGCUCAUUUUUGGAGGCUGUACAGUGACCUAUAGACUCUAACAUUUACAACAUUUGGUCUUUGAUAGAUAUGUGUCUCGUUGGCAAUCUUUCUUACCAAUUCGCCUUAUUUUACAUAUAUAUUGUCGUAAAAUGUGUUAUAUGAUGACUUUAAUAAGUGAUGUUUGUUAGAGUUGUAAUGUAUUGAAUGUGAAGUUUUAUUUGCUUUAUAUUUGAUUAGAAAGUCUGUGAACUGGUGCUAGAUACAAUAUCAGGAUUGCAAGACAGUAAUCCAAGCAACAUAACAGAUCAAUCCCAGAUUAAUGUUCCUGAAGGCUGUUCACGCCACCUUGUGUUAACGUUGUGUAAAGAAUCACAGAUUUUUCCAUAUUGUAUUAAGUUAUUAGUUGCGUCUUUGAAGGUAAGGUUAAUAAGAGAAUGCAUUCCAUUUGUCAGGAAAUAUCAGUAAAACAUGAGAAAGCUUAAUCCAGACUUACCAGUAUCAUUUAUACAGAUUGCAGAAGUUAACUACAUUUUUGCAGGUUUUUUGUCGAGCCUGCGACUUUUGUCGCAGAAAGCUCAACAUAGGGAUAGUAUCCGGCAGCUGCAGCGGGGUCGUUAGCUAACUUCUUAAAAGAUGGGAGACCUGGAUGCUUCAUACUUUGUAUAUAGAUGCCUCAUGUUACAAAGUUUCCGUCAGUCACAUGUUCAAUGUCCUUGACCUCCUUUUCAUGGUUCAGUGACUACUUGAAAAAAAAGUUAAGAUUGUUUGUAAUGUUAAAUUCUCUCUUAUUAUAAGUAAUAGGAUAACUAUAUUUGGUAUGUGCGUACUUUGCAAGGUCCUCAUGCCCGUCAGACAGUUUUCACUAGACCUCAACCUCAUUUCAUGGAUCAGUGAAAAAGGUUAAGUUUUGGUGGUCAAGUCCAUAUGUCAGAUACUAUAAGCAAUAGGUCUAGUAUAUUCAGUUUAUGGAAGGACUUGUAAGGUGUACAUGUCCAACUGACAGGUGUCAUCUGAUCUUGACCUCAUUUUCAUGGUUCAGUGGUUAUAGUUAAGUUUUUGUCUUUUGGUCUGAUUUUCUUAUACUGUAUGCAAUAGGUCUACUAUAUUUAGUGAAUGGAAUGAUUGUAAUGUGUACAUGUCUAGCUGGCAGGUGUCAUCUGACCUUGUCCUCAUUUUCAUGGUUCAGUGGUCAAAGUUAAGUUUUUGAGUUUUGGUCUUUUUUCUAAUACUAGGUAUAUGUCAACUAUAUUUGGUACAUUGAAAUAUUUUAUGAUCUAUAUGUCAGUCGCGCAGGUUUUAUUUGACCUUGACCUCAUUUCAUGGUUCAUUGCUCAGUGUUAAGUUUUUUUGCUUUGAUCUGUUUAUCUUAAACUAUAAGCAUAUAGGUCAACUAUAUUUAUUGUAUGGCAGAAUUGUUAGCUGUACAUGUCUGUGACGGUUAGAUUUAGGACUAUUAAAGAAGGCGAGACAUUUCAGCGUGUGCACACUAGUUAGACAAUAACUUGUUUAAGUGUAUGGAUCUCUGAAAUUGUACUACAAGGUUCCUUACCACAAGGAAAAGAUGUUAUUAAGUCUUGGGAUAAUUGCUCUACGAUAGUAGAGGGGCAUUAUGUUUUCUUAUCUGUACGUCCGUUGGUCUACGUCCGUUCGUCUGUCGUAACGUUCGCCAGGAUUCAGGUUUAAGUUUUCGGUCAAGGUAGUUUUUGAUAAAGUUGAAGUCCAAUCAACUUUAAACUUAGUACACAUGUUCCCCAUGAUAUGAUCUUUCUAAUUUAAAUGCCAAAUUAAAGUUUUGACCCCAAUUUCACAGUCCACUGAACAUAGAAAAUGAUAGUGCGAAGUUCAGGUUAAAGCUUUUGGUCAAGGUAGUUUUUGAUGAAGUUGAACUCCAAUCAACUUGAAACUAACUACACAUGUUCCCUAUGCUAUGAUCUUUCUAAUUUAAAUGCCAAAUUAGAAUUCUGAUCCCCAUUUCACGGUCCACUGAACAUGGAAAAUGAUAGUGCAAGUGGGGCAUCCGUGUACUAUGGACACAUGCUUGUUUCCAAUUAUUUUAGGAAUUCAUAUUUGUUUUCAAAAAUUUCAAAUUUUUGAAAAGUCUCGAGAAGAAAUCUUCAAUUGCACAGUAUUGCGCAAUAGAUUUGUAAGAUCUUUGACCACAUUUAUUUUGUGUAAGAAACCUAUAUUAUGUCAAAAAUUUGAUCACAUUCAGAAUUCAAACAGUAUCAAGCUUGAAUAAUGCUUCCAAAUUUGCCCCAACUGUUCAGGGUUCCACCUCUGCGGUAGUAUCAGGCUGCGCUCAGCAAAGCAUUUUAUGUUCAUUAAAAAGGGUGAUUCUGCAGUUUUGGACAAAAACUCAAAAACACUUUCACCAAUUUGCAGAAAUUUGGUGAAUUGUUUAUAUCUAUUGACAUGAACUCCCUUUUGAAUUUUAAAAUUGUUGAUUUUACGUUUCUGAGUUACAGGGUUUUAUUCAUUAAAAAUAAAAAAAUUAAAAUCCAGUUUUCGGACAAUAACUCAAAAAUGCUUUCAGCAGUUUUCAUAAAAGGAAAUGUGAGCUUUUCUCAUCACUUAACGUCCGUCGUCGUCUGUCGUCGUUAACAAUUUUUCAAACAUCUUCUCCUCGGAAACUACUGAAUGGAUUUGGAUGAAACUUAGAUUGUUCCUUAGAUUAUCCUGCACAAAGUUUGUGCUUCGAUUUUUGAUCCAUCAAAAAACAUGGCUGCCGUUACUUAAAAUACAACAUAGGGGUCAAAUGCAGUUUUUGGUUUAUAUCUAAAAAACUAAAGCAUUUAAAGCAAAUCUGACAUGGGGGGUAAAAAUGUUCAUUAGGUCAAGAUCUAUCAGUCCUGAAAUUUUUAGAUGAAUCAAACAACCCAUUGUUGGGUUGCUGCAUGCCACUUAAUUGGUAAUUUUAAGGAAAUUUUGCAGUUUUUGGUCAUUACCUUGAAUAUUAUUAUAGAUAAAGAUAAACUGUAAACAGCAAAAAUGAUCAGCAAAGUAAGAUCUACUAAUAAGUUAAUAUGACCAAAAUUGUCAAUUGACCCCUUAAGGGGUUAUUGUCCUUUAAUGACAAUUUUUCACAAUUUGUUCAUCAUAUUUGCUAACUUUAAAAAAUCUUCUCCUCUAAAACUACUCAACCAAAUUCAACCAAACUUCUUUUGAAUGAUCAGUAGGAUGUAUAAAAUAAGUUUGUGUGUUAUUUUUUAAUUCGUCAAAAAACAUGGCUGAAGGCAUUGUUUACCAGGUGAGCGAUUCAGGCUUUUGAGAGCCUCUUGUUUUUUAUAAGGGAGAUAAUUUGUUACUUCUGGUUUGAAAAAUGGUACUUCCGUUACUAUUUGAAUAUUUACUUGACACUGAUUCCAAAAAUAUCUGGUUCUAUAUACUUUUAUAUUAAUAAAGUACGAAAAAUAGCUACUUCCGGUUUACACAAUGUCACUUCCGGUUGUUUUUUCAAGGUUAGAUGUAUUUGUUGGUUAAUGCAAACAUAUGUACUCCAUGAAAAUUGCUAACUGAUAAAAAAAAAAAAACAAGAAACACUCUUUUUAGCAUUCAAAUGAAACAUUUUGUGUUCAUUAUUUAAUUUAACAAUUAACGAGGAGUGAAAAUAAAUUUUGUUAACGUCGAGCACGAUUGUGUUAUUAUCGCCACCAUUUUGUUUACAUUAAUUACGAAAAGAAGUUCGGUCAACCUCGUCUAUAGAAAAAUAAACAACGUCAAGAACAACUACCAGAAGUCCUUUUGACCAAUCAUAUCAACGUAUUUCUUAAUAUGCAAAUCAAUAAGAAUUAUAUUGAUGAACAGGCACCUUAGUCAAGAAUUGAUGAACAGGCACCUCAGUCAAGAAUUGAAAAAGUGAAAUCAGAAGAUUUAUUUGAAAUGUGGGCUAAAAAUACCAGUCAGGACAGAUCACCAGUGUCAACGUGAUGAUCGUAACUGCAGUUACGAUCAUCACAAUAUGGCGGACACAAAUAUAGGGAUAUUUUAUAGGGCUGAUUUCUCCACUUUAACAGCUUAUUUUCAGAUUUGUAUCAUGUCAAGAAACAUCUUUAUAAGCAUUGCCAUUGAAAUAUUUUUUCGGACCGGAUGGAAAAGCAACAAGAAGAAUGAAAAUCGAGAUACAAAAAAUCACGAUGAUGAUCGUAACUUUUAUUUAUUUUUGUCGAGCCUUCGACUUUAGUCGAAAAAGGGAGACUAAGCGAUCCUACAUUCCGUCGUCGGUGUCGGCGGCGGCGGCGUCCACAAAUAUUCACUCUGUGGUUAAAGUUUUUGAAAUUUGAAUAACUUUCUCAAACGAUCCUGGAUUUCUACCAAAUUUGGACAGCAGCUUGUUUAUGAUCAAAAGAUAGUAUCCAGAAGUAAAUUUUGUAAAAAUAAAAUUCCAUUUUUUCUGUAUUUUACUUAUAAAUGGACUUAGUUUUUCUGCCGGGAAAUAUCAUUCACUCUGUGGUUAAAGUUUUUAAAAUUUUAAUAACUUUCUUAAACUAUCCUGGGUUUGUACCAAACUUGGACAGAAGAUUGUUUAUGAUCAUAAGAUAGUAUACAGAAGUAAAUUUUGUAAAAAAAAAAUCCAUUUUUCUGUAUUUUACUUUUAAAUGGACUUAGAUUUUCUGCCAGGAAACAAUACAUUCACUCUGUGGUUAUAAACUUUUUUAAAUUUUAAUAACUUUCGUAAACUAUUUUGGAUUUGUACCAAACUUGGACAGAAGCUUGUUUAUGAUCAAAAGCUAGUAUCUAGAAGGAAAUUUUGUAAAAAAAUAAAUCUAUUUUUUUGUAUUUUACUUUUAAAGUGACUUAGAUUUGCUGCGAAACAACACAUUCACUCUGUGGUUUAACUUUUUAAAAUUUUAAUAACUUUCUUAUACUAUUUUGGAUUUGUACCAAACUUGGAAAGAAGCUUGUUUAUGAUCAAAAGCUAGUAUCUAGAAGGAAAUUUUGUUUUCUUCUAGUUAACAUUACAUUCAGUGUGCAGUUAAAUUUUUUAAACAUUUAUUACAUAAACUAUCCUGGAUUUUUACCAAACUUGGACAGAAGCUUCUGACAAUCAAAAGAUAGUUACAACAGGAAUAUUUUAUUGAUUUGUUUCCUCAUUUUUGUUGAGCUUGUGAUAAACAGAAAGAGUAGGCGAGACACUGGGUUCCGCGGAACCCUUACAAAUUUUUAUCAACGAUGAUCGUAACUUUUACUUAAGAUGAUCGUAACUGUCUGUUCCAACGAAGCAUUUUCUGAUAAAUAAAGACAAAUAUAGCUGUCUAGUAUGCGAGAAAAUGUACGUUAUCAGCUGAUAUUGUGAUAAUAAUGAGGAACGAUCACUGAGGGUAGGGUAACGUCCUAUUGGUAAGUGCACAAAUGGUUAUGACUUCUCAGGAUUUCGUAUUUAUUUUUUAUCUAGUUCAAUAUUAAAAUGCAUUGGGGGUUAACAACUUUAUAUUGAUUUCAUAUGUUUUAUAUAAAUAAGAUAUUGGACAGUUCAUAUUAAUGACCAGUUUGUUAAAAUAGAUUUUUUUUCAUCCCCCCCCCCCCCCCCACACACACACACACACACUUUACAUAAAUAGCCAACCCAUGGUAAAUAUAGGUAACAGUAGUCCAAUGGCGUAUCGAGAUUUUCAUAAAGGGAUGGGGGACUGGCUGCCUAAGAGUAGGCCCAUUAUACAAUCAACCAAAUUUCCCCCACAAAAAAAGGUGAUGCGAGCACCUUGACCCUCCCUCUAAGUCUGGCUCUGUAGUCUACCAAUGUUUAAUAGUCAUAGUUUGAUUAAAAAAAAAAAAGGCCAGGCAACAAUUUAAAACUGAUAGAAAGUCAUCAAAAUAAUGUAACUUCAUGCUUUCCUUUACUUUAUUAAGUGAAAGUUUUGGCCUGUAUUCUUAAACUGUAUCAUGAAAAUGAUAUUUAUAUCAACUUCAUAUCAACGUAAAUCCAUUUUGAAUGUUAUAACUAAAUUACUCAUAAGAAAAUAAUAUUGAGGACAUUUGCAUAUAAGUCUGCUAAUCCCCUUAUGUCAUUUCUUUUUAGAAUAGUGGUUUUCAUUUAUUCUUUGUUUAAUUUUAAAAUCAUGAUAAUUUUAUUUUUUGUUCGUAACUGCUAAAUAGGGUGUUCAUUUAGUAAAAACAAAACAUUCAUAAAUUUUGAGUUACGAUCAUCUUUUUAUAAAAACAAGUCAAAGUUAUGAUCAUCUAUAGACGAAGUUACGAUCAUCAUCAUGAUUUUUUUAAUCUCGAUUUUCCUUCUUCGGAUUGUUUUUUUAUAAUUUAUGAAAAACACAUUCAAUGGCAAAAAAUUAAUGCUUUUUAUGGUGUAUGGAUCUCUCAGUUUUUUCUCCUCAAGAUUUCAGAAAUUAAAAAGAAAAUUUCUUCAAAUUUUUUUUUUGCAAAAAAUUGGGGUAAAUUUUAAUUACUGUAUUUAUUUAUUUUUAUUGUUUUCAAUUCACAACAGCAUAGUGUAUUGCACAAAAGCAAAAAAUGGAAUAUAAAUUCAAAUCAUAUUACCGAUUUUAAGUUCUUUGACUACAGUUAUUCUGUGUCAUAAACCUUUUAUGUUUCAAAUAUUUGAUUACAAUCCAAAUUCAGACCUAAAUGAAGCGUGAAUAUUGUGUCCAUUUUUGCCCCAACUGUUCAAGGUUGAACAUCUGCGGUCGUAUCCAGCUGCGCUCUUGGAAGCAAUUUAUUUGUUAUUAUCUUGAAUAUUAAUAAUGAUAAACAGAAAAAAUGUUCAGCAAAGUAAGACUUAAAAAUAAGUUUUUUGAUCAAAAUAGUCAAUUGUCCCUUUAAGGAGUUAUUGCCCUUUAAAGAAAUUUUCAUAAUUUGUUCAUCUAGUUAAAAUUCUUCUCCUUUGCAGCUGCUGAAUUAAUUUCAACUAAACUUGGGCUGAAAGAGUUGAGUAUCUAGUAUAAAUUUUCUAUUUUAUUAUGCCCCACCUACGAUAGUAGAGGGGCAUUAUGUUUUCUGGUCUGUGUGUCCAUUCGUUCAUCCGUCCGUUCAAUCGUCCGUCUGUUUGUUCAUCUGUCUGUCCAUCGGUUCCCCUUCAGGUUGAAGUUCUUAGUCAAGGUAGUUUUUGAUUGAGUUGGAAGUCCAAUCAACUUGAAACUUGUACACAUGUUCCCUAUGAUAUAUGCUCUUUUUAAUUUUAAUGCCAAAUUAGAGUUUUAACCCAUAUUUCACAGUCCACUGAACAUAGAAAAUAAUAGUGUGUGUGGGGCAUCCGUGUACUAUGGACACAUUCUUGUUUACUUGCAUAUCAAGAAACAUAGCCACUAUGGCUAAAAUGGAACAUAGGGGUAAAAUGCAGAAGAAAAUAUGACCGCUACAAAGAUCAUAUUUAUAUCGAAUUUUUAAGCCAUUCAUUAAUAUAUAUUGAAAAGCAAAAUCAAGUUGAUGGAAGAUUUAAGCAAAAAUUAACAAGUGAGCGAUUCAGGCUCUUGAGAGCCUCUUGUUUGAUAGAAUAUGAUAAACAAUUUGUAUAAUAAUAUUGAAACAUUGUUAAUGAUAACAUUGACAUUAAAGCAAUCGAAUUAAAAAAUGUAUGAACAAAAUUGUAUUUAUUAACCACAAUUUGGAUAACAAAAUGAAGUCAUUUUGUACCAAAAAAAUGCAAUGCCUUAUUUGUGUGAAUGCCCUUUGAUGACAAUUUUUACCAAUUUUUGCCUGAAAUAUUACAAUAGAGAAAUAGAAACUUAAAUAAGCAAAAAUGAUCAACAAGUUAAGAACUACAAUUAAGACUAUAUAGAGGAAAUCAUCUGACGACAAGUUAUUGCCCAUUAAUUAUGGUUUUCACCAUUUUUUGGCAUUUUGCCUUAUAUGAUAAAAAUUAUAAAAAGAUAAAUUGACACUUAAAAUCAGAAAAAUGAUUAUCAAGUCAAAAUCUACUUUCAAGUCAAAUAUUGCUUAGUAGACACUAUUUAAAACAGUGAUUGCCCUUAAAUGAGUAUUUUUAUGCCCCAUUUAUGGACAUUAUGUUUUCUGGUCUGUGCGUCAGUGUGUAUGUCCAUUCUGUCCCACUUCAGGUUAAAGUUUUUGGUCGAGGUAGUUUUUGAUGAAGUUGAAGUCCAAUCAACUUGAAACCAAGUACACAAAAACUGUUCCCUAUGAUAUGAUCUUCCUAAUUUUAAUGCCAAAUUAGACUUUUUUCCCCAUUUUCACAGACAAUUUUUUUUAAAGGCAGUGCUUUAAGGCCUGACUUUCAAGUCAUGAGGUUCAUCUUUCCUUACGCAAAUCUUUGCUGGGGGUCAUUUUGCAAGAAAUAGAUCCGGAAAUGUUUAAAUUUCUCCUCUACUUUUUGUGGUAUGUAUUGGUUUUUGUUCCUUUCAUUUACAUUGGGAAAUAAAGAAACGAUCAGUGUGUAUUGUUCGUUUUAAAAAUCUGUUUAUUAAUGUGUCUUUUGCAUUAUAAGCAGUCAAUCUGAUUACAAACUAUCAUUAUUCGAAUUCCGUGUGGAAAGAGGUCCGUUAAUUUCGAGUACUAUUUGCGAUCUAAAGAUAUUUUAAAAUCAUUUCACUCGUUGAUAUAACAUGAUAUUAUAAUUAAAAGUCGACUGACCGUGAAUUAUAUUGCAUAAUAUACAAUUUAAAGUAUUUCUGUACGUGAAGCCGUAUGACGUUAUAGUUAUUUCGGUCUCAGUUAUGUAAAAUAUGAAAUUAUCGUUCCUGAAUAGGGUUCCACUAAUUAAAGACAAGAAGCGUCAAAAAGUGAUAAGAAGCGACAAUAAAAUUAAAAUAGCGAUAAGAAGCGACAAUAUAAUUAAUUUAGCGAGAAGAAGCGUCAAGAAGACUAUAUAGCGACUAUACAUAAAUAAAAAAAAUGUCAUUGCAACAACUUAUUCCCCAUAGAUAUUAAAAAAAAACAUGCAUUAUUUUUUAUUAUAGGGGCGGUUAUAAAACAUUUUUUAUAUUAUUGUACAUUGAUAGAUAAAAAUAUGUUUUUAUUAAGAAGAAAGGGAUAAGUUUUUAUUAGAUAUAAAAAAAAAUUAUUUUAUGCACACGCUAAAAAUUGGCCAUCAAAACAAAAAAAAUUCAAUUUCCUUUUAAAGAAUUUAUUGAAUCAAAACCAUGCAAUAUCAUUUCCUUUCUAACAGUGAAAUUCUUCUUUUUCAUAGGGACAUAUUUGAUAGGUGUAACUUCACCCUAUCACAUCAAAUGAGAAUAGCCUCGUGAGAGAAUUACGAUUCGCUUGUCCCUUGUUAGUUAUUGUCGCUUCGUCACUAAAUUAAACUUCUUGUCGCUGUUUGUCUCUAAAAUUCUUCUUGUCUCUUAUUAGUGAGACCAGUCAGUUCCGUCCUUAACUUCCGUUUUUGCACUGCAAAACAAUCACACAAUUAACGAUGCCUAGUCCUUGUUGGUGUGUACCUGAUCGUCAUUUAAGAGGAGGACUUGCAUUUCUAAAUGACUUAAUAAGAAGGAAAAGUUGGAUCAACGCCAUGGCUCAAACGUAGAUUGUCAUGUGCGAUGCAAUCGUAGAACCCAUAUCAAUCAGCUGUUGUUUGCAAGGCACAUUUUACUGAAAACGACUACGUUCAGGAAACUAUUCAUGGUAAAACUUUAUUUUCUUUAAGAAAUAUAUACUGUUAUUUAUAUAAUCGCCAUGCAAGUAAACCAAAGUCUGUUUGCAACCGCAAUUAUCGUUUUAGAAUAAAAAGGGGGGUGAAUUCAAGACGUCAUAACUUUUGGGAUUACGAUUCAAUAUCAUCUGUUUGACAUUUUUUGGUUAAUACUACAAUUGUAUGGUUUUUCUACAAGAGAUAUAUUAGGCCAAUUAAAAUUAAUUGAUAGAUUUUCAUCCCCGCCCGCCCCUUUGAAAUCUUCCCGCCCCGAUUUUUUUUAUUUUUGAAAAAAAUUACGAUUUCCGGAUUUUGUUCAUUUCCGUUACCGGAAACCGUCGAUAUUUCGUUUCGUGUAAAACUUCCUGUUGCAAAUUUCGGUUUUUGUAUUUCUUAGAGUAUUCUAACUGGAUUAUUAAGGUGGUAUGGGUGUCUAAAAUAAAAAUGAUAGAAUUUGUUCAUACUUUGCCAAAACGUAGUAUCUAUUGAUAUAUGUUGGAAAAUAUAAUAAAAAUGAUAGGUCACCGUGCAUUUUCUCAAGCUACAGUAUCAAAAGAAAAGAUGGGGUCACCGUACGUUUUUUCCGGCUAAAAUACAAAAUAGGAAAACUUCAUGUAGAAUCCUUCAGAAAAUGCAUUGUUUUAGAGUUACCUCCCCUUGAAAUGCCAAUUUAAAAAAAAAUUAAAAACAACCAAAACUAAUCAACAUUUACAAAAAUAUUAAUAUUUGUAUGUUAUAUUCCUAUAAAUUGGUUCCUUUAAAUGAAAAUCACAUUAAAUAUCUGCAUUCCUGCAUCCCAUUUUGCUAUUUUGAUAGAAAAUAUGGACCUUUGGUUCUCUUACAAUCCAAGAUGGAGGAAGACACCCAUACCACCUUAAGUCCAUAUAUUCUGCUGAUCUAUGAUGACAACAUCAUUUACCGAGAAUAAACUAAAAGAUUGAUCACGAGAAAGGCGUGAAAUAUUCGCUGUACACUAUGUCACAAAUGACAAAUUUAUGUUUGUGAGUAAACACCUUGGAUUUAGUUUUAUUUAUACAAUGACUUUGUGUCAAGAAAUUUGGACUGUGAAAGAAACCCAAAAGCAUCAGAAUUGUGGAACACAUUGACUGGAAUAAAGAAAUUGACACAAGCAUGGACUUUUUAGAUUAAUGACCGGUAUUAUUGAGUUCAGAAAGUCGACAAACAUACGCAUUUUUUAAUUUAUUAUUUACAGCAAGCUCUUAGAAAUAAAUUUAGCCAUGCCUUUCGUUUUUUGUUAAAAAAAACACAGCAAACAUCCUCUGUCCCUAUACCAGAUGGAGUCAUUAAACAACUCUGUUCUACAUUGUAAUUAUAUUUUCAUCUUGCAUAUUUUAAAGGACCAACCCUAUUAUUUCAACACUGUUUGAGUUUUCAUUUUAUUCUGUACUUAUCGUACUCGUGUUGCAUACCAAUGGAUUUGCUUCAUUUUAUUAGGACAACAACACAUAGCUUAGAAAGCAAAAUAUAUUUCAUGACGUAGGUAGUCCAACUGAAGAGAGCAUUUCCUCACAUUUCUGAUGUUUACUAUAAAAUAGGUUUCUAAAGCAGCAAUUACAUGUAGAACAGUGGGUUGCCAAUCAGAGAUAUAUAUUUACGAAUUUGAAAAAGCGGCACCAGCAUAUGGAGUAAAUGUGUUUCAAUAUUGAUACGUUACUCUAGAGUUAGCUCAAAGUACAUGUACGCUGAUUUUGUUGAACCAGGAAUACUGCUUUCUCAAAAGUUGCUAAGACAGGGCUAUUAAUCAUCAAAUUAAGGUCAUCACUCAAUUUUAUGGUUGCCAUCAUGAGCUGAUUGGCCAUAAUGACAAAAGUGUGUCAGAAAUCAUAUCUCAGUGAUAUUCUUCCUCAGUCAUAACAACCUUCCAUCAUUACCGAACUGAACAAAAAAAUAACAUGACGGGUGCCGUAUACGGUGCCAAGAAAUGCUUGCCUUUCCGGAGCACCUGAUUCAUUCCUGGUUUUUAGUGGAGUUUGUGUUGUUUCCUACCAUGCCUACUUAGUACUUGUAACUGUUGGUGUAAAUGUCUUUUGGUUUUAAGAGUCUUUGGUUACUCCUUUGUUUUGAUUGUUAUUGUCUUAUACAAGAUACCUAAUGCAUGUAUUUACAUGAUAUAAGCUUAUUAUUACACUUGCAUAUAUGAUCGAAUAACACGUGACAAGAAGGUUUCAUAUGAAAUAAAUUUAAAAAAUAAAAUCCUCCCACCCGCCCCAUUUUUUUCAAAAACUUGGAUGAAAAUCUACUAAUUAAUUUUAGUUGGCCUUAUACUGAUAAUUAUUAGCUCACCUGGCCUAAAAGGCCAUGUGAGCUUUUCUCAUCACUUGGCGUCCGUCGUCGUCGUCGUCGUCGUCGUCGUUAACAAUUUUUCAAACAUCUUCUCCUCUGAAACUACUGAAUGGAUUUGAAUGAAACUUAGCAUUAUUGUUCCUUAGAUUAUCCUGCACAAAGUGUGUGCUUCGAUUUUUGAUCCGUCAAAAACAUGGCCGCCGUUACUUAAAAUAGAACAUAGGGGUCAAAUGCAGUUUUUGGCUUAUAUCUCAAAAACGAAAGCUUUUAGAGCAAAUCUGACAUGGGGUAAAAAUGAUCAUUAGGUCAAGAUCUAUCAGCCUGAAAUUUUCAGAUGAAUCAAACAACCAUUGUUGGGUUGCUGCCACUUAAUUGGUAAUUUUAAGGAAAUUUUGCAGUUUUUGGUCAUUAUCUUGAAUAUUAUUAUAGAUAAAGAUAAACUGUAAACAGCAAAAAGAUCAGCAAAGUAGAUCUACAUAAGUUAAUAUGACCAAAAUUGUCAAUUGACCCCUUAAGGGGUUAUUGUCCUUAAAUGACAAUUUUUCACAAUUUGUUCAUCACAUUUGCUAACUUUAAAAAAUCUUCUCUAAAACUACUGAAUGGAUUUGGAUGAAACUUAGCAUGAUUGUUCCUUAGAUUAUCCUGCACAAAGUGUGUGCUUCGAUUUUUGAUCCGUCAAAAAAACAUGGCCGCCGUUACUUAAAAUAGAACACAGGGGUCAAAUGCAGUUUUUGGCUUAUAUCUCAAAAACGAAAGCAUUUAGAGCAAAUCUGACAGGGGUAAAAAUGUUCAUUAGGUCAAGAUCUAUCAGCCCUGAAAUUUUAAGAUGAAUCAAACAAACCAUUGUUGGGUUGCUGCCACUUAAUUGGUAAUUUUAAGGAAAUUUUGCAGUUUUUGGUCAUUAUCUUGAAUAUUAUUAUAGAUAAAGAUAAACUGUAAACAGCAAAACUGAUCAGCAAAGUAAGAUCUACAAAUAAGUUAAUAUGACCAAAAUUGUCAAUUGACCCCUUAAGGGGUUAUUGUCCUUUAAUGACAAUUUUUCACAAUUUGUUCAUCACAUUUGCUAACUUUAAAAAAUCUUCUCCUCUAAAACUACUAAACCAAAUUCAACCAAACUUCAACUGAAUGAUCAGUAGGGUGUAUAAAAUAAAGUUUUGUGCUUUAUUUUUUAUUUCGUCAAAAAACAUGGCCGUCAUGGCUAAAAAUAGAACACAGGGUAAAAUGCAGUUUUUGGCUUAUAUCUCAAAAACUCCAGCAUUUAGAGCAAAUAAGACAAGAAGUUAAAGUAUUUAUUAGGUCAAGGUCUACCUGUCCUGAAAUUUUCAGCCGAAUUGGGUAACUGGUUUUUCAGGUAUAAUGCCCCUGAAUUGAUGAUUUUAAAGAAAUUUUGCAGUUUUUGGUUAUUAUCUUCAAUAUUAUUAUAGAUACAGAUAAACUGUUAAUAGCAAAAAUGUUAAGCAAAGUAAGAUCUACAAAUAAGUCAAUUUGACCAAAAUUGUCAAUUGAUCCCUUAAGGAGUUAUUGCCCUUUAAAGACUUUUUUCACAAUUUGUUCAUCAUGUUGACUUAAAAAAUCUUCUCCUUUGAAACUGCUGUAUCAAUUUUAUGCCAAACAUUAAAACAUUAGGACAUAUUCAAAGACAUUUAAUAAUGAAAGCCAAAAUAUCAUAGAGAUUUAACCAAAAAAAUUUAGGUGAGCGAUUCAGGCUCUUGAGAGCCUCUUGUUUUAGCAGUAAUUAUGUAAAUUUCGGUUGUAAUGACAAGAAUUCAUGAGCUAUAUGCCUCGGGCUUUCUUGAAAAAUAUCAAUGACAAUGUAAACAGGAACAAAACAUUGACAUGAAUGAUGCUCUCCACCUAUGUUAUAGUUAUUUAGGUAUGUGUGUUGCACAAGUCUUUCACAAGUUUCAAAAAAGCUAAUGUUAUAAAACUUUUUUCAGGGCACAUACCCACUUUAUAGAGACUUGUCUACUGCCAUGCAUUCCCAUCCUAUUUUCAUGCACCAUUUGUAAGCAAGAGACUGAAUGGUUUACAAAAUUAAAAAUCAGGACGGUGUCCCGUUAAACCAAAAGAACUAAACUGGAUGAAUAUUGUAGGAGAAAUCUAGAGGAAAGUUUUGAUUUGGAAAAUUGGUUUUCCUGAACAGAUGUACAUUCAUCCUGCAGGAAAGAUUUAUAACUGUCCACCACCAACUGACGAGCUAAUGUUGAGCUUCACAGAUGGAAUUACUCAAACACCAUAAAUGCCUAUGUUUUCAGCACAGAUUUCACAAAUCAUGACACAGCUGUGCAUUUUUAUGCCCCACCUACGAUAGUAGGGGGGCAUUAUGUUUUCUGGUCUGUGCGUCCGUUCGUCUGUUCGUCCGUUCGUCCGUCCGUCUGUCCCUCUUCAGGUUAAAGUUUUUGGUCAAGGUAGUUUUUGAUGAAGUUGAAGUCCAAUCGACUUCAAACUUGGUACACAUGUUCCCUAUGAUAUGAUCUUUUUAAUUUUAAUGCCAAAUUAGAGUUUUUACCCCAAUGUCACGGUCCACUGAACAUGGAAAAUGAUAGUGCGAGUGGGGCAUUCGUGUACUGGGGACACAUUCUUGUUUAUACCUGUUAAGAGUCGAAAACUAAAUAUUAUUUUUAUAUAAAUAAACAUAUAUUGUGUCAUUUUAGAACUUAUAUUUUUCCAAAGGAUGCAUGAAUGAAAGUAGUGAAAUUCAUUUUGCUUUGAUAUAUAGAUUUGAAUUACAAUUGUUCAUGUUAUUGUAAUGCAUAUAAAAAUAAGGAGAUGUGGCACAAUGUAAAUAUAUGAUAUUCUGUGAGUUUAUCAAACUAAAGGGGAUAAGAAAUGGGUAUAAGCAGUUACAGGACUGUACUACUGUACAAUCUCCAACAAUGAGAAAAACUCAUACUGUAAAGAGAAUUUCAUAUUUACAAGUAAGUUUUGUUUUUGCAUUGAAUAAUUUUCUUCUAUUGUCUUAAAAGCAAAUAUGGGAAGUGGUUAAAAUGCUAAUGAGACAGCUUUUAUGGCCACCAGAUGUCAUUGUUACCUUGAUUAAAAACUCCUUUUUAGCUCACCUGACCUGACUCAUCACUUGGUUUCGUCGUCCAUAAACUUUUACAAAAAAUCUUCUCUGAAACUACUGUGCCAAAUUUAACCAAACUUAGCCAAAAUCAUCAUUGCGGUAUCUAAUUUAAAAAAUGUGUGGUUAGACCCGGUCAACCAACCGAGAUGGCCACUAUGGCCAAAAAUAGAACAUACAGGUAAAAUGUAGAUUUUGGCUUAUAACUCUGAAACCAAAGCAUUUAGAGCAAAUCUGACAUAGGGUGAAAUUGUCUCUUCAGUGAAGAUCUAUCUGCCCAGGAAUUUUCAGACAAAUCUGACAACCCGUUGAUGGAUUGCUGCCCCCAAAUUAGUAAUUUGAAGGAAAUUUUGCAGAGUUUGGUUAUUAUCUUAAAUAUUAUUAUAGAUAGAGAUAAACUGUAAACAGCAAUAAUGUUCUGCAAAGUAAGAUCUACAAAUAAGUCAAUAUGACCAAAAUUUUAAGUUGACCCCUUAAAGAGUUAUUGCCCUUUAUAGUCAAUUUUUAACAAUUUUCAUAAAUUUUUGUAUUUUUUGUUAAUUUUUAAAAAAUAUUUUCAACUGUAAAUACUGGGCCAUGUUUAUUAUAGAUAGAGAUAAUUGUAGCACCAAGAAUGUUCAGUAAAGAAAGAUCUACAAACACAUCCCCAUCAUCAAAAACACAAUUUUGUCAUUUUAUAUGUGUCCGUUGUUUAAUAUGCACAUAGACCGUCCAAGGUGAGCGACACAGGCUCUUGAGAGUCUCUAGGUCAUUAAUACAGGUAGAUAACUUUAUCAUGUUUAUACUGAAAAAUAAUUUUGCUUGGAGGGAGAAUUUUAAAAAAGUUCUGUCUUCAAAAGAGUUGACAUGUUACUAUGUACAUUAACCAUUAUGUUACUUGAUGUUCUAGCAAUACACACAGAACGGAGACUAGUCAAUCUUUGUGAAUUAUUUUUCAUAGGAUAGGAGUAAUUGAAUAUGUGUAUAUACCGUAAUAAAUCGUAAAUAAGCCGCAGGUUUUUUUCUCUGUCUUUGUCCCUGCGUGUUAUACUCGGUGCGUGUUUAUGUAAGUAUUAUUUCUGUUUUCAGGACGACGGUGAAAGAAAAAAAUAUCUGGAUUUGUUUUCUGGAGACAGUCAGAUUGUCAAGUGCUUGCAGUGACCUUGAUAAAUUGUUAAUGUUGCAUAUUUUGUUAUGAAUAAAUAAAUAUAUUAACUAAAUCGUUUGUUUUUAUUUCAUUCAAUCAUUGUUGGUUUACAGGAAGUCGAUAACCAUGUGUUUAUCUCUCUCUUNNNNNNNNNNNNNNNNNNNNNNNNNNNNNNNNNNNNNNNNNNNNNNNNNNNNNNNNNNNNNNNNNNNNNNNNNNNNNNNNNNNNNNNNNNNNNNNNNNNNNNNNNNNNNNNNNNNNNNNNNNNNNNNNNNNNNNNNNNNNNNNNNNNNNNNNNNNNNNNNNNNNNNNNNNNNNNNNNNNNNNNNNNNNNNNNNNNNNNNNNNNNNNNNNNNNNNNNNNNNNNNNNNNNNNNNNNNNNNNNNNNNNNNNNNNNNNNNNNNNNNNNNNNNNNNNNNNNNNNNNNNNNNNNNNNNNNNNNNNNNNNNNNNNNNNNNNNNNNNNNNNNNNNNNNNNNNNNNNNNNNNNNNNNNNNNNNNNNNNNNNNNNNNNNNNNNNNNNNNNNNNNNNNNNNNNNNNNNNNNNNNNNNNNNNNNNNNNNNNNNNNNNNNNNNNNNNNNNNNNNNNNNNNNNNNNNNNNNNNNNNNNNNNNNNNNNNNNNNNNNNNNNNNNNNNNNNNNNNNNNNNNNNNNNNNNNNNNNNNNNNNNNNNNNNNNNNNNNNNNNNNNNNNNNNNNNNNNNNNNNNNNNNNNNNNNNNNNNNNNNNNNNNNNNNNNNNNNNNNNNNNNNNNNNNNNNNNNNNNNNNNNNNNNNNNNNNNNNNNNNNNNNNNNNNNNNNNNNNNNNNNNNNNNNNNNNNNNNNNNNNNNNNNNNNNNNNNNNNNNNNNNNNNNNNNNNNNNNNNNNNNNNNNNNNNNNNNNNNNNNNNNNNNNNNNNNNNNNNNNNNNNNNNNNNNNNNNNNNNNNNNNNNNNNNNNNNNNNNNNNNNNNNNNNNNNNNNNNNNNNNNNNNNNNNNNNNNNNNNNNNNNNNNNNNNNNNNNNNNNNNNNNNNNNNNNNNNNNNNNNNNNNNNNNNNNNNNNNNNNNNNNNNNNNNNNNNNNNNNNNNNNNNNNNNNNNNNNNNNNNNNNNNNNNNNNNNNNNNNNNNNNNNNNNNNNNNNNNNNNNNNNNNNNNNNNNNNNNNNNCAAAAAAACAUGGCCGCGUUACUUAAAAAUAAACACAGUCAAAUGCAGUUUUUGGCUUAUAUCUCAAAACGAAAGCAUUUAAGCAAAUCUGACAGGGGUAAAAAUGUUCAUUAGGUCAAGAUUAUCAGCCCUGGAAAUUUUUAAGAUGAAUCAAACAAACCAUUGUUGGGGUUGCUGCCACUAAUUGGUAAUUUUAAGGAAAUUUUCAGUUUUUUGUCAUUAUCUUGAAUAUUAUUAUAGAUAAAGAUAAACUGUAAACAGCAAAACUGAUCAGCAAGUAAGAUCUACAAAUAAGUUAAAUGACCAAAUUGUCAAUUGACCCUUAAGGGUUAUUGUCCUUUAAUGACAUUUUUCACAAUUUGUUCAUCACAUUUGCUAACUUUAAAAAAUCUUCUUCCUCUUAAAACUACUAAACCAAAUUCAAACCAAACUUCAACUAAUGAUCAGUAGGCGUGUAUAAAAUAAAGUUGUGCUUUUAUUUUUUAUUUCGUUCAAAAACAUGGCCGUCAUGGCUAAAAUAGACACAGGGUAAAAUGCAGUUUUUGGCUUAUAUCUCAAAACUCCAGCAUUUAGAGCAAUAAGACAAGAAGUUAAAGUAUUUUAUUAGGUCAAGGUCUACCUGUCCUGAAAUUUAGCCGAAUUGGUAACUGGUUUUUCAGGUAUAAUUGCCCCUGAAUUGAUGAUUUUAAAGAAAUUUGCAGUUUUUGGUUAUUAUCUUCAAUUAUAUUAUAGAUACAGAUUAAACUGUUAAUAGCAAAAAUGUUAAGAAAGUAAGAUCUACAAAAUAAGUCAAUUUGACCAAAAAUUGUCAAUUGAUCCCUUAAGGAGUUAUUGCCCUUUAAAGACUUUUUUCACAAUUUGUUCAUCAUGUUGACUUAAAAAAUCUUCUCCUUUGAAACUGCUGUAUCAAUUUCAGCCAAACUUAGGCUAAAUGAGUUUCAGAGUAUCUAGUAAUUUUAUAUUUCAUUUCCUUGUAGUAGGAACAUAGCUCCUAUGGCUAAAAAGACAAGGAGAAAUGAUUUUUUUUUUGCUUGAAGAAAUAGGACGAUUCAAGACAUUAAAUAUGAAAAGCCAAAAAUCAUCAUGAGAGAUUAACCAAAAAUUAAGGUGAGCGAUUCGGCUCUGAGAGCCUCUUGUUUUAGCAGUAAUUAUGUAAAUUUCGGUUGUAAUGACAAGAAUUCAUGAGCUAUAUGCCUCGGGCUUUCUUGAAAAAUAUCAAUGACAAUGUAAACAGGAACAAAACAUUGACAUGAAUGAUGCUCUCCACCUAUGUUAUAGUUAUUUAGGUAUGUGUGUUGCACAAGUCUUUCACAAGUUUCAAAAAAGCUAAUGUUAUAAAACUUUUUUCAGGGCACAUACCCACUUUAUAGAGACUUGUCUACUGCCAUGCAUUCCCAUCCUAUUUUCAUGCACCAUUUGUAAGCAAGAGACUGAAUGGUUUACAAAAUUAAAAAUCAGGACGGUGUCCCGUUAAACCAAAAGAACUAAACUGGAUGAAUAUUGUAGGAGAAAAUCUAGAGGAAAGUUUUGAUUUGUGAAAUUGGUUUUCCUGAACAGAUGUACAUUCAUCCUGCAGGAAAGAUUUAUAACUGUCCACCACCAACUGACGAGCUAAUGUUGAGCUUCACAGAUGGAAUUACUCAAACACCAUAAAUGCCUAUGUUUUCAGCACAGAUUUCACAAAUCAUGACACAGCUGUGCAUUUUAUGCCCCACCUACGAUAGUAGGGGGGCAUUAUGUUUUCUGGUCUGUGCGUCCGUUCGUCUGUUCGUCCGUUCGUCCGUCCGUCUGUCCCUCUUCAGGUUAAAGUUUUUGGUCAAGGUAGUUUUUGAUGAAGUUGAAGUCCAAUCGACUUCAAACUUGGUACACAUGUUCCCUAUGAUAUGAUCUUUUUAAUUUUAAUGCCAAAUUAGAGUUUUUACCCCAAUGUCACGGUCCACUGAACAUGGAAAAUGAUAGUGCGAGUGGGGCAUUCGUGUACUGGGGACACAUUCUUGUUUAUACCUGUUAAGAGUCGAAAACUAAAUAUUAUUUUUAUAUAAAUAAACAUAUAUUGUGUCAUUUUAGAACUUAUAUUUUUUCCAAAGGAUGCAUGAAUGAAAGUAGUGAAAUUCAUUUUGCUUUGAUAUAUAGAUUUGAAUUACAAUUGUUCAUGUUAUUGUAAUGCAUAUAAAAAUAAGGAGAUGUGGCACAAUGUAAAUAUAUGAUAUUCUGUGAGUUUAUCAAACUAAAGGGGAUAAGAAAUGGGUAUAAGCAGUUACAGGACUGUACUACUGUACAAUCUCCAACAAUGAGAAAAACUCAUACUGUAAAGAGAAUUUCAUAUUUACAAGUAAGUUUUGUUUUUGCAUUGAAUAAUUUUCUUCUAUUGUCUUAAAAGCAAAUAUGGGAAGUGGUUAAAAUGCUAAUGAGACAGCUUUAUUAUGGCCACCAGAUGUCAUUGUUACCUUGAUUAAAAACUCCUUUUUAGCUCACCUGACCUGACUCAUCACUUGGUUUCGUCGUCCAUAAACUUUUACAAAAAAUCUUCUCUGAAACUACUGUGCCAAAUUUAACCAAACUUAGCCAAAAUCAUCAUUGCGGUAUCUAAUUUAAAAAAUGUGUGGUUAGACCCGGUCAACCAACCGAGAUGGCCACUAUGGCCAAAAAUAGAACAUACAGGUAAAAUGUAGAUUUUGGCUUAUAACUCUGAAACCAAAGCAUUUAGAGCAAAUCUGACAUAGGGUGAAAUUGUCUCUUCAGUGAAGAUCUAUCUGCCCAGGAAUUUUCAGACAAAUCUGACAACCCGUUGAUGGAUUGCUGCCCCCAAAUUAGUAAUUUGAAGGAAAUUUUGCAGAGUUUGGUUAUUAUCUUAAAUAUUAUUAUAGAUAGAGAUAAACUGUAAACAGCAAUAAUGUUCUGCAAAGUAAGAUCUACGAAUAGGUCAAUAUGACCAAAAUUUUAAGUUGACCCCUUAAAGAGUUAUUGCCCUUUAUAGUCAAUUUUUAACAAUUUUCAUAAAUUUUUGUAUUUUUUGUUAAUUUUUAAAAAAAUUUUCAACUGUAAAUACUGGGCCAUGUUUAUUAUAGAUAGAGAUAAUGGUAGCACCAAGAAUGUUCAGUAAAGAAAGAUCUACAAACACAUUCCCAUCAUCAAAAACACAAUUUUUGUCAUUUUAUAUGUGUCCGUUGUUUAAUAUGCACAUAGACCGUCCAAGGUGAGCGACACAGGCUCUUGAGAGUCUCUAGGUCAUUAAUACAGGUAGAUAACUUUAUCAUGUUUAUACUGAAAAAUAAUUUUGCAUGGAGGGAGAAUUUUAAAAAAGUUCUGUCUUCAAAAGAGUUGACAUGUUACUAUGUACAUUAACCAUUAUGUUACUUGAUGUUCUAGCAAUACACACAGAACGGAGACUAGUCAAUCUUUGUGAAUUAUUUUUCAUAGGAUAGGAGUAAUUGAAUAUGUGUAUAUACCGUAUAAAUCGUUAAAUAAGCCGCAGGUUUUUUUCUCUGUCUUUGUCCCUGCGUGUUAUACUCGGGUGCGUGUUAUGUAAGUAUUAUUUUCUGUUUUCAGGACGACGGUGAAAGAAAAAAAUAUCUGGAUUUGUUUUCUGGAGACAGUCAGAUUGUCAAGUGCUUGCAGUGACUUGAUAAAUUGUUAAUGUUGCAUAUUUUGUUAUGAAUAAAUAAAUAUAUUAACUAAAUCGUUUGUUUUUAUUUCAUUCAAUCAUUGUUGGUUUACAGGAAGUCGAUAACCAUGUGUUUAGUGUUCAUUUCGUAAACAAAGAAAGAUAACUGUGUCCAUACAGGAUAUUAAUUGUGUAUUUAUCAUAAAUAUGUAGUUGUUAGUUGAUUUAAUGUGUUUUAAUAUAAAAUUUUCUAAUGAAAUAAUAAAGAAAGUGAUUGUGUGUCUUGCCAAUAUUACAAGUUUCUUUAAAUGACGAUGGUGAUGCAUGUGCUUAAAUCGACACUUUAAAGUGCUUCAUAAACAAAGAGAGAUAAUCGUGUUUGAGAAGAGGUACCAAACAGGAUAAAAUACUGAAGAGUAACUGUUUGUCGUUUUAUUGUGUUUCAAAACGAAAUAUCUUUACGAAAUAUUAUUGGAUGUUAAAAUAACUAAAAAAAAAAAAAGAUACUAAUUUUUAUAAUUUAAUCUGUUAAAACAUUUAUUUAUUGCCGUCUUCUUUUAAUCCCCUUGUCAUUGCUCAUAACACUUUCAUUUAAAAAUAGACAAUGACUUGCAAAAAGUAAAUUGUUUUGUUUGUUGUAUUCAUCCAAAUUAAAAUUGAAAAAUGUUUGUUACGUUCAGAACUUCAACUUUUAUUUUAUAGACAACAAUAAAAUUCUUAAGAUUGAUUUUAAUUAAAAAAAAAUCUUGACUUUUGGGUGAACAGUUUUCACACGUGGGUACAGGUAAGUAGGUCAUAAUCAAGGUAAACAAUGGCAGUUUUAUGGCUUGGGUGACCUUUCAUGCAUACAUUUUUAAGAUUAAUUUAAAUCCUUAAUGCCAAUUCAAACAAUAAACAAGCAAUCAAUACCAUACUAACUUUAAUCAAAACAACAAGGUUCAAUGGACACCCAAGCUGUCAACACAUGGCCAUUGUUGACAAAAAAAACAUCAAACGAAACUGGCAUAAUUAAAACAAUGAGAAAAGUAUAAUUAUUUUAUUACGAUUUUUUAUUUUAAUAUGACACAAAUAAAUAUAUUCAAAAAUACUCUCAACUUUCUCACCAAUCUGAAAAUAGAAAUGAAACAAAUUACGGUGUGAGUUACAAAAGGAGAAAAUAUUCAUGACACUAUCAGGUCAGUAGAAUAAAUAUACGUUUUCUUCAGUGUGCGCUUAAUAUUCAGGUGCGUUUUAUGUAAGGACAAAAACAAUCUUCCCCCCAAAAAACGGCCGUGCGGCUUAUAAAACGAUGCGCUUUAAAUUCGAAAAUAUAAUUAAUCAAUAAUUAAAAAUAGUUUUAUUUACAUUAAAAAGGAAAAGUUCUUAUGUCUUUUAAAAAAAUGCAUUUCAUGGCGAGGUACAGAAAAUAUACUGUAAACAGUAGACUAUAGAUAUAGGUGAACAAGGUACAAGAGAACUCUAAAUCUUAAAUACUACAAACCACCUCUGUUCUAUGGAAGAUAAUGAUAUAACUGGACUAGAAAUACACACAACCUGUAAUUAACUGCCUUUACAGCGCUUUCGCGCUUUGAUUAAGAAUUCUAUUCUAGUCUAUAAUGUUGGAGAGUGUCUUUGUUGAAUAUGCAUAUAGUAUUAUAGACCAAGAUGAGCCACAAACUCUUUAGAGCCUCUAGUUUGAACGGGCAAAUGUCCCUGGCAAAAAGCACAAAUGUCCUAUGAAACGUCCUGUGCCAUAAUUUAAUUAACAUAAUUAAGUAACAGCAAUAAAAGAUCUAAAAUGACACAUUUAGAAAAUCAAAAAUGAAGACUCAUAAAUGAAUAUGAUAGAAUAUUUAGAUAUUUUUUUUUUUUUUACAGGAGAAGAUAUUUUCAGGAAAAUGUGAUGAUAUGGCACUGGGUCAUAUGAUUAUAUUGCUGCAGUAUGAUUGGCCAAAACAUACAGAUUUGUUUCAUCAAGUGAUGCAAAAGAUCAAAGCACAAGGCAGUUUAA
This 24943-nucleotide long non-coding RNA is filed under the name Mytilus galloprovincialis (Mediterranean mussel). The record is from RNAcentral. Lineage: Eukaryota; Metazoa; Mollusca; Bivalvia; Mytilida; Mytilidae.